Molecule: long non-coding RNA, 2212 nt
Organism: Symphalangus syndactylus (siamang)
Lineage: Eukaryota; Metazoa; Chordata; Mammalia; Primates; Hylobatidae
Source: RefSeq, a predicted model, not a curated record
UCACAGCUCACUGCAGCCUCAACAACUCAGGCUCAAGUGAUCCUCCUCCCUCAGCCUCCUGAGCAGGGGGAACUACAGGCAGAUAGCUUGAGCUCAGGAUUUCGAGACUAGCCUGGGCAACAUAGUGGCGGCUCCAUAGGAGGAGAAAAGAUGGCGAAGAGAAGCGAUUCAAAGUUUUUGGAACGUGUCUAGAAGCACCUAGGUGGCGUGAGGGAGUUGCAGCAGGAGGGAGGAGGGCAGAAAGAGGCAGGGGCAGGGGACAAGAAUUGGAAGGGGAAGGGGUUUGUAGAGUCAGGGCCAUGAAGUGGCUCACCUCCAACAUGGGCCCCAUUCAGCCCCUUUGGGUGGUGGAAUCUGAACUGGAAGAAGCGGCCGUGUGUGACCACAACUGAAGAACUGUGUCUGUGUGUUAAGCAUCAUAGCAAUGGGAACCCAGGCCCACCUGGUGGGAGCACCCGGAGGUGAGCCUCACUCUUGGGAGAGGAACUUCUUCUUCACCCCAUCCUGAGAAAGCAGUGGUGGCUGUCAUCAUGGAAGCAAGGGUGUGCUUGGGUGGCCAUCACCGUGGAAGAAAGACAGGCUCAGUGGAGGACGUGCCUCAGUCACCACAGGAAACUGUCGGAGAUAUGGCAGAGGUGACAGCAGCACCAGCAUCCACAAUGGGCCCCUCAGCAGCCUCCCACUCUGUUUUCCCUGUGAGGAGCUGGGGCUGCCGCCUUGGCCCUAGUGGCUGCUGGCUUCUUGGGCUGCCUACAGGAGGCCAGGAGGAGCAACCCUGAUGCCGGAUGCAGAAGUUGAAGCAAACCUGGGAUUUGUAUCUGGGUCCUCCUGGCUUCAGAUCCCAAACUUCCAGCAUCAGGAUUCACUACCCCUCCGUGAUGACCAACACAGCAGUGCAUAAAGGUGUGAUGGUAUGGCCUUGGAAACCUCCUUCACUCUCCUCCAGCCAGCCUAAUUCAGGGCCACAUCCAUGGUUGUACCAUGAGUUAUGGAUGUUCUUCUCAGAUAUCCUAAUUCUUUCCAUCUGUCAUGCCCUUGAUCCAACUAGAGCUGCUCUGCAGUAUCACAGACAGCGCCAGAGCCUCGUCUCUUUUAUUUUCUCCCUCCUGGAUGCUCUUCCCUCCUAGCAGAGAAGUGAAAGUUGACCUCGACCAGUUGUCAGCUCCUUCCCUUCCUCCGUUUUCCUCUGGACCACAUCAUCCAGCUGAACCUUGGGUCUCACUCGGCCUCCCAAAAUGCUGAGAUUACAGCCAUGAGCCACUGCGAGAGGACUGAUCUUUAGAACAUGCUUUUAUUUUAGUCAAUUUAAAACUGAGACUUUUCAUUGAAAAUUGGCAGUUUAAAUUCAAUAGAAGACACAACGCCACCAAAUCCCACUGCCUUGCAGAUGUUGGCUGAGUGUCCCUUCCCACUCACAAAGCCUCACUGCCGCGCCCACCUCACUCCCAGCACUGCCUGCUGACAUCAGCCACUCCCUGGGCAUGGGAUUCCCAAAACAUGAGAGUAUCCCUGCCAAGCUGUUUCCUCCCAAAUUAUUUUCUGCCCUCCCUGUCAAGCCCUCCCCGACCUCCAACUCCUAUCCCCAGCCAGAGACCAGCAGGUGAGACUCUCCUGUGCUAACCCUUGUCUGGGAUAUAAAAAGAGGUGUUGGCCGGGUGUGAUGGCUCAUGCCUGUAAUCCCAGCACUUUGGGAGGUCACCUGAGGUCAGGAGUUCAAGACCAGCCUGGCUAAAAUGGCAAAACCCCAUCUCUACUAAAAAAAAAAAAAAUACAAAAAUUAGCUGGGUGUGGUGGUGUGUGCCUGUAAUCCCAGCUACUCAGGAGGCUGAGGCAGGAGAAUCACUUGAACCCAGGAGGCGGAGGUUGCAGUAAGCCGAGAUCACACCAUUGCACACCAGCCUGGGCAACAAGAGCGAAACUCUGUCUCACCAAAAAAAAAAAAAAAGAGGCGUCUAAGUGUCUAAGGCUGUGAGUUGGUUUUUUUUUUCUUUUUUCUUUUUUUUUGAGACAGAGUCUCGCUCAGUUGCCCAGGCUGGAGUGCAGUGGCUAGAUCUCAGCUCACUGCAAGCUCCGCCUCCCAGGUUCAUGCCAUUCUCCUGCCUCAGCCCCCUGCGUAGCUGGGACUACAGGCGCCUGCCCCCACGCCCAGCUAAUUUUUUGUAUUUUUUUUAGUAGAGACGGGGUUUCACCGUGUUAGCCAGGAUGGUCUCGA